Molecule: transfer RNA, 73 nt
Filed under: Candidatus Jorgensenbacteria bacterium
Lineage: Bacteria; Candidatus Joergenseniibacteriota
Also listed under: 1 other name
Description: tRNA-Thr
Rfam family: tRNA
About the family: Transfer RNA (tRNA) molecules are approximately 80 nucleotides in length. Their secondary structure includes four short double-helical elements and three loops (D, anti-codon, and T loops). Further hydrogen bonds mediate the characteristic L-shaped molecular structure. tRNAs have two regions of fundamental functional importance: the anti-codon, which is responsible for specific mRNA codon recognition, and the 3' end, to which the tRNAs corresponding amino acid is attached (by aminoacyl-tRNA synthetases). tRNAs cope with the degeneracy of the genetic code in two manners: having more than one tRNA (with a specific anti-codon) for a particular amino acid; and 'wobble' base-pairing, i.e. permitting non-standard base-pairing at the 3rd anti-codon position.
Source: RNAcentral
GCCCACGUAGCUCAGUUGGCAGAGCAUUUGCAUGGUAAGCAAAAGGUCGUCGGUUCGAUUCCGACCGUGGGCU